UGGGGAAUUUUGGACAAUGGGGGCAACCCUGAUCCAGCAAUGCCGCGUGUGUGAAGAAGGCCUUCGGGUUGUGAAGCACUUUUGUCCGGAAAGAAAACGUCGUGGUUAAUACCCGUGGCGGCUGACGGUACCGGAAGAAUAAGCACCGGCUAACUACGUGCCAGCAGCCGCGGUAAUACGUAGGGUGCAAGCGUUAAUCGGAAUUACUGGGCGUAAAGCGUGCGCAGGCGGUCCGCUAAGACAGAUGUGAAAUCCCCGGGCUUAACCUGGGAACUGCAUUUGUGACUGGCGGGCUAGAGUAUGGCAGAGGGGGGUAGAAUUCCACGUGUAGCAGUGAAAUGCGUGAGAUGUGGAGGAAUACCGAUGGCGAAGGCAGCCCCCUGGGCCAAUACUGAGCUCAUGCACGAAAGCGUGGGGAGCAAACAGGAUUAGAUACCCUGGUAGUCCACGCCCUAAACGAUGUCAACUAGUUGUCGGGUCUUCAUUGACUUGGUAACGUAGCUAACGCGUGAAGUUGACCGCCUGGGGAGUACGGU
RNAcentral lists this ribosomal RNA (536 nucleotides) under uncultured bacterium. RNAcentral's name for it is "partial 16S ribosomal RNA". It matches the Rfam family "Bacterial small subunit ribosomal RNA", at positions 355 to 886 of the family's 1533-position model. The record is from RNAcentral.